This 465-nucleotide ribosomal RNA is filed under the name uncultured bacterium. RNAcentral describes it as "partial 16S ribosomal RNA". It matches the Rfam family "Bacterial small subunit ribosomal RNA", at positions 338 to 795 of the family's 1533-position model. The record is from RNAcentral.
CCUACGGGAGGCUGCAGUGGGGAAUCUUGCGCAAUGGGCGAAAGCCUGACGCAGCGACGCCGCGUGAGGGAAGAAGGUCUUCGGAUCGUAAAACUCUGUCAGCAGGGAAGAACGGUCACUGUGCUAAUCAGCAGUGCAUUGACGGUACCUGCACAGAAAGCACCGGCUAACUCCGUGCCAGCAGCCGCGGUAAUACGGAGGGUGCGAGCGUUAAUCGGAAUUACUGGGCGUAAAGCGCUCGUAGGCGGUAUGUCAAGUCAAGGGUGAAAUCCCCGCGCUCAACGUGGGAACUGCCUGUGAAACUGGCAAACUGGAGUGUGUGAGAGGAUAGUGGAAUUCCAGGUGUAGGGGUGAAAUCCGGAGAUAUCGGGAGGAACAUCAGGGGCGAAGGCGACUAUCUGGCACAUAACUGACGCUGAGGAGCGAAAGCGUGGGUAGCAAACAGGAUUAGAUACCCGAGUAGUC